RNAcentral lists this ribosomal RNA (913 nucleotides) under uncultured bacterium. RNAcentral describes it as "bacterial SSU rRNA". It matches the Rfam family "Bacterial small subunit ribosomal RNA", at positions 10 to 916 of the family's 1533-position model. The record is from RNAcentral.
AGUUUGAUCCUGGCAACAGAUUGAACGCUGGCGGCAGGCUUAACACAUGCAAGUCGAGCGGGGAAAGGUAGCUUGCUACCUGACCUAGCGGCGGACGGGUGAGUAAUGCUUAGGAAUCUGCCUAUUAGUGGGGGACAACAUUCCGAAAGGAAUGCUAAUACCGCAUGCGCCCUACGGGGGAAAGCAGGGGAUCUUCGGACCUUGCGCUAAUAGAUGAGCCUAAGUCAGAUUAGCUAGUUGGUGGGGUAAAGGCCUACCAAGGCGACGAUCUGUAGCGGGUCUGAGAGGAUGAUCCGCCACACUGGGACUGAGACACGGCCCAGACUCCUACGGGAGGCAGCAGUGGGGAAUAUUGGACAAUGGGCGAAAGCCUGAUCCAGCCAUGCCGCGUGUGUGAAGAAGGCCUUUUGGUUGUAAAGCACUUUAAGCGAGGAGGAGGCUACCGAGAUUAAUACUCUUGGAUAGUGGACGUUACUCGCAGAAUAAGCACCGGCUAACUCUGUGCCAGCAGCCGCGGUAAUACAGAGGGUGCGAGCGUUAAUCGGAUUUACUGGGCGUAAAGCGUGCGUAGGCGGCUUUUUAAGUCGGAUGUGAAAUCCCUGAGCUUAACUUAGGAAUUGCGUUCGAUACUGGGAAGCUAGAGUAUGGGAGAGGAUGGUAGAAUUCCAGGUGUAGCGGUGAAAUGCGUAGAGAUCUGGAGGAAUACCGAUGGCGAAGGCAGCCAUCUGGCCUAAUACUGACGCUGAGGUACGAAAGCAUGGGGAGCAAACAGGAUUAGAUACCCUGGUAGUCCAUGCCGUAAACGAUGUCUACUAGCCGUUGGGGCCUUUGAGGCUUUAGUGGCGCAGCUAACGCGAUAAGUAGACCGCCUGGGGAGUACGGUCGCAAGACUAAAACUCAAAUGAAUUGACGG